RNAcentral lists this ribosomal RNA (369 nucleotides) under uncultured bacterium. RNAcentral describes it as "partial 16S ribosomal RNA". It matches the Rfam family "Bacterial small subunit ribosomal RNA", at positions 338 to 722 of the family's 1533-position model. The record is from RNAcentral.
CCUACGGGAGACAGCAGUGGGGAAUAUUGGGCAAUGGGCGCAAGCCUGACCCAGCAACGCCGCGUGAAGGAAGAAGGCUUUCGGGUUGUAAACUUCUUUUAAGAGGGAAGAGCAGAAGACGGUACCUCUUGAAUAAGCCACGGCUAACUACGUGCCAGCAGCCGCGGUAAUACGGAGGUGGCAAGCAUGGUCCGGAUGUACUGGGUGUAAAGGGCGUGCAGGCGGGAGGACAAGUCAGAUGUGAAAUCCUGCGGGUGAACCGCGGAACUGCAGUUGAAACUGUGUGUCUUGAGUGGGGGAGAGGGAGGUGGAAUGCGUGGGGUAGCGGCAAAAGGCGGAGAUAGCAAGAAGAAUACGAAGUGAGAAGGC